GCGACCAAUCGCAGGCCACGCACUAUGGUCAACCCCAAGUAAAACGGGGCAUACCUGACUGCGUACGUCUGCUGCACGUUGGCAAAGCACUUUCACUUUGCUCAUUCUUGCUUUCCAUUGCGGGCACUUUCACUUUGCUCAUUCUUGUACCAUCACCGGUUCUUGAACACCACACAAGAUCAAAGAACAACUUGCAGCUCUUCUUUUUCUUGGCCUUCUUCGCCACCGGCGACCAUGUCGGAGCCCGGCGGGUGUUGCCGGCGCUGCUGUGGGUUCAUCUUCACUUGCGGCCUCUCGGCUCUCUUCCUGUGGCUCGCGCUGCGCGUGUCCAAGCCCAGUUGCUCUAUCCACCAAUUCUACCUCCCGGCACUCAACGGAUCUUCCAACACUCCCGCGAAGACCACCAUUUUCUUGGACGUGAAGCUGAGCAACGUCAACAAGGAGAAGGGCAUCCACUACGACCCCGUGAACCUCACCGUUUAUUGCUUCAGCGGUACGAAUCGGACCAAGUGGGUCAAGACCAUUCCUGGAUUUUACCAGGGGCAUGGGAAGAAGGCCACGAAGAAUGCAAGUGUGGAGACUUUGGGGGUGAAUUGGACUGAUUUUGUGGUGGCCAAGGACGAGUCUUUGGUCUUUAGGGUGGAUUUGGCCACUGCUGUGAGGUUCAAGAUCAUGCUUUGGAACACCAAGAGGCAUAAGUUAAUGGUGGGAGCUAAUGUGACUCUCAAUGCUGAGGGUGCUAAGAACACCACUAAGGAUAUCAAGCUAAAGUCUGGGGUGUGUAAGAAUUUGAGAUGUUGUUGCUUUUGGCAGUUUGGCAUCAUCAGUAGUUUCGACGGACCUCAUCAUCAAUGCCGUGAACAUUACUGUUGGAUCCUAUUCAAGCAUGCAGCUGAUUAUCUUUGGAAUCUUCAAUCACAGUGCUUGGCAGAGGAUACAAACAAGUGGCUCGUCAUUAAACCAGAGCUAGUUUUGCCAGUUAAUAGAUCCCUGACGCUUGCAGUUGACCUCUCAUCAUCACUCAAUGCCCACCGUCGGUCCACGAUCUGGUGAUGCAAUCUUUGCAAAUGUUGAGCGAGUGAAUGCAGAGCUGUUUACUUUAACCUUCGGAGCAAUUGUGCAUCAAUUGCUUACAGAUCUGGAGGAGGCUGAGGAAGUCAACAACCAACUCGAUCAAAUGGGUCAUAAUAUGGGCACCGGAUUGAUUGAUGAAUUUAUAGCAAAAGCUAAUAUCUCCAGACGUGUUGACUUCAAGGAGACAGCUGAAAUGAUUGCUAAGGCUCCUUUGUCGAAGAAAUUGUGGCUGUGUGUAUUAGUCUUGAGAAGACCUCCUGUGGGCGCCAUCAUGGCCAGUGGGUCCUUCGUGGGAGGAGAACGGGCAUUUUGUGCCGCACGAAGGACAUUCUGAAUGUGGAGCUCUUGAUGAAGACGCGCCUUCAACAUCCGGCAAAGAUAUGCCGUGAGCUAUACGUCCAUUUGAGUUGUUUAUUUAUAAACACUUGGGGUUU
This is an RNA transcript of Syzygium oleosum, 1508 nucleotides long. It is a transcript of the gene named protein NDR1-like, with no coding region annotated. The transcript is spliced from 6 exons. NCBI's taxonomy places the organism in Eukaryota, Viridiplantae, Streptophyta, Magnoliopsida, Myrtales, Myrtaceae. The record is from RefSeq and is a predicted model, not a curated record.